This 344-nucleotide long non-coding RNA is filed under the name Linum usitatissimum (flax). RNAcentral's name for it is "long non-coding RNA (LUSI_LNC005569)". Lineage: Eukaryota; Viridiplantae; Streptophyta; Magnoliopsida; Malpighiales; Linaceae. The record is from RNAcentral.
UCAAUAACAAAUCAAAUCAUCCAUACAAAGCUUAGCUAAAGCUUCAUCUCAUCCGAACAACACAGAAAGUUUAGCUACUCAUGGUUCCGGAAAAUAAAUCACAAGAGAAGAGAAGAAAAACCGGAGAAGACGACAUGCUCUUCGUGGAAAUCCCAAUCUUCGACUUGAUGAUUUGCCCUUCGCCAGUCGUGGUUGAUCCUCUCGCUUCAAUCGUCUCUCUGGAACUCUAGCUCUCUCCAAGAGCUCGAAAAUAUGUGUAUAAUGAAGUAUAUCCCGUCCUCGGGGGUCUCUGGGUAUUUAUAGGGUUCUGGACCAUGUUGGAGAAGGAAAAGGACUUGAAAACC